RNAcentral lists this long non-coding RNA (1159 nucleotides) under Marmota monax (woodchuck). The record is from RNAcentral. Lineage: Eukaryota; Metazoa; Chordata; Mammalia; Rodentia; Sciuridae.
CUCUGUGGCUAGGUGAACAACGGACUCGAUACACACUGGCCAGGUCCUGCGUCACAUGACCGCUGGUACUGGAAUGCAAGGUAAGCUAGAUCCCCAAAGGAAAAUUACAGAGCUACCCUCAGAAGAGUGGGAGACCCACCCCCGAGGGCGGACCACCGGGUGCUCGAGUGCUCUUGGAGGGUCCAGGCCUUGGGAUGGAGAAGACAGCAAGUCGGGGGGCCACGUCUUCAGGGAAUGGGGAGAGGUGAGCCCCGAGGCUGGGAGCAGACUGGGAAGGGCUGGCGACAUGAACUGCAUAGGGCAGAUUUAAGGAAGAAAUAUGGAAGGACCAUAAAGUCCUAAGGACAACCUGAGGUGCACUUUGGAGCUCAUGAUAUGUCUUCAGAGGAUAGAUGGUGUUUUCAGGUUUCCGCCACUGUGACAAAAUACUUGAGAAAAUCAGCUUUAAAGAGAGAAAAGGUUCAUUUUGGCCAGCAGUUUCAGUUCAUGGUGUCUUGGCCCCGUGGAAAGGCAGAACAUCAUGGUGGGAUGAAGCUGCUCACCUCAUGGCACUGUGGAAGCAGAGAGGGAGGGAGGAAGAGGCUGGAGCCCAAAGACCCCCUUCAAAGAUACGCCCCCAGUGACCUAACUUCCUCCCACGGGUUCCACGUCCAGAAGUCCCCACCACCUCUCCUAGCACCAUGAGCUGGGGGCCGAGCCUUCACCACAUGAGUCUUGGGGGGACAGUUAAGGUCCAAAGUGCAGCCGAUGGUCUGCAGGAUGUGGGGUGGGGGGCCACAGAGACCUUCUGGACCCUCUUGGAACCUCAAAGAAAUCAUCAGGGAAACAGAGUCCCAGGCCUGACCCCCCAAAUCCAGACUCGGACAACUGGGGGUUGAAAGUGGCAUUAGGCACUAGACCAAGCCAGACUCCAGGGUUUGUGGCUCGAGGGUCCCCUCCCAGGGUCACACUUGGCUGGUCCGUAGCACCACCCCUGGAAUCCUGGGUAGGUCUCCUGCCUGCUAGCAGCUGGUGGCACAUCGGCUGGCCCCACAGGUGGCAAGGGACAGGACCUGGUCUGGCACAGUCCCCCCAGGUCAGAACUGUAAGUAAACGCGGCUCUUCCUGGGAGGGUGGGGGGAGACCUUCUCAAACCUGGGCCUUUUGGGGUGAAGUCCUU